CCACGCUGCCGUAAAAAGCGUUCUCACGCUGCCGGAAACCGUGGUGGACGGAAGCCUCAAUAGCCCAAAAGGAGAUUUGCGCAUGCGCCGGCGUCUGUCACCGUCUUUUAAAAAAAGCUGGUGAGCCCCCCCGGGGCUUGUGACUGUCAGAAGGAGACUAGCAGAAUUUGUACAACACCAACGAAUCCUCCUGAGCUCUCGCCCAGUCCGAGCUACAAAGAAGCAAGACCUCAGUGUAGAUUUCUUGAUCUGCUAUUAAAGGAAGAAAGAAAGAAACAGAACCCACUUACCCCGAAUGUGUCUAGUGGUUAAAAGAGUCACAAAGGAAGGGAAAUUAAAAUGCAUCUCAUGCCCAAUGGAACGCGUCUGCAGAGACGUAACAGAAACCCGAUGAUGCCUGCACAUCGAUCAGCAGAGCUGACUAUUCCUUUCAGUUUAUUAGAGUCUUUGCCUUCCAUUGUAAAGAAUGAAAGAACUCACCCAACGAAAACUAUGAAGUCAGUCUGGGACAGACAAAUGAGAGAGUUCAGAGGAGAACCAAGCCUUUGAGAAAAACUGGGCAUGUUUAAUCUGGAGAACGGUGGAAUGAGAGGUGCCAUUAUGAUGGUGUAUAAAUAGGCAAUGGUGUGUUCUCAGGAGGAGAAGGAUCAGUUCUUCUCAUUAGUCACUGAGGCCAGAAGGAGAAGAUGCAGUCGCAAGGACAUCUGAGGUUCACCGUUUGGAAAACUUAUCUAGUAUAACAGCAGAUAGGCAACCAAGCAAGCUGCCAUAUCAGUGGAGAUGCUGGAAUCAGACUGACUUGAGACAUCCAAGGAUGGACUUGACACCCAUUCAUUAGGAAUGCCUUACAUAUCAAUCCUGCCCCAGUGCAGGGGUAUGGACUAGAUCACGGAUUCUCAGCCUAGGGAUUGCAGUCCUCAGGGGGUUGUGACCACCCUGCUUUUCCCCAUAUUAUUAAAUAUGCCAGAUGAGAGAGGUUUCCUGGGGUGGAGAAGAUUGAGAACCACUGGAGAAGGUGGUCCACUGAGAAGAUCCUAUCCAACCUGAAUGAGUCCAUAACACAUCACCAACAAAGUUUAGAACAUGACUUCAUGUGUGACAUACCCAUAUU
Long non-coding RNA from Mauremys reevesii (Reeves's turtle), 1111 nucleotides. RefSeq lists it as uncharacterized. The record is from RefSeq and is a predicted model, not a curated record. Lineage: Eukaryota; Metazoa; Chordata; Testudines; Geoemydidae. The transcript is spliced from 3 exons.